UGACUAGCCAAUGCCUGAAAUAAUGAACUCCUCCAAGGCAAGAAAUCUGUUUUGAAGCUUCUCUGCGUUCACACACAGCAGCCUGGUUUCCUGGAAGGGCAUUUUCCACAUUGUGCGUUAUGGAUGAUCAUCCCAGGCAUCAGGUGUGAAGCCCUGCAUCCACAUCCAGGGGCUAUCAAAUCUCUCUGCAAAAGGAGAAGCUGGACUCAGGCACGUUUACAGUGAUGUGUAUGCAGGGUAUGCACAGAUGUGGAAACAGGAACUGAUGUGUCCAUUACACCACUAGGACAGAGGCCAGAACAAUGAAGAAACCAAAUACUUGGAAGAGGGUAGAGAUAAUGAAUGGAGUCCAAGAGCCCUGAUUGUGCCAUAAAUGUCCAGAUAAUUCCAUACCUGAGGAUUAUGUGGUUUGUAAACUUGGCACUUAGAAGAACCAAUAAAAUCAUGUUAUAGUUUC
This 457-nucleotide long non-coding RNA is filed under the name Homo sapiens (human). RNAcentral's name for it is "non-protein coding GAPLINC:7". The record is from RNAcentral. Lineage: Eukaryota; Metazoa; Chordata; Mammalia; Primates; Hominidae.